GGAAGACUUAAGAUGGCGGCGUUUGCACGGAGUGCAAUCACUGCGUCCUUACGGGGGUUGCAAGGCGUCCGAAGUAUGAGUCCACUAACAAAAGUCCAGAAACUCGCCAGUUAAUAGUAUUGUGUCUCUUCAAAAUAUCGGAGAAUAAUUUCUUUCUCGCUGAUCGCCUAACUUCUACUGACGAAGCUUGGAAGUUGCAGAAGACAUGAUGUAUUGAGUAAAAGGAACUUCGGUACACAGGCCUUUAGUGAUGUGGUGGUAAGAUGUAUGAUGGAGUUCGCUCUUGUUGCCCAGGCUGGAAUGCAAUGGCAUGACCUUGGCUCACUGCAACCUCUGCCUCCCCAGUUCAAGUGGUUCUCCUGCCUCAGCCUCCCGAGUAGCUGAGAUUACAGGCUGGAGUGCAGUGGCGCAAUCUCGGCUCUCUGCAACCUUCACCUCCCGUGUUCAAGUGAUUCUCCUGCCUCAGCCUCCUGAAUACCUGAGAUUACAAGCAUGCACCACCACGCCCGUCUAAUUUUGUAUUUUCACUAGAGACGGGGUUUCUCCAUGUUGGUCAGGCUGGUCUCGAACUCCCGACCUCAGGUGAUCCGCCCGCCUCAGCCUCCCAAAGUGCUGGGAUUACAGGCAUGAGCCACCGCGUCCAGCAAGAAUAGGUGAUUUUCAAACUUGGAAACAUUCAGAAGUUAUCGCCUCAGUUUCAGAUUGAGUAGUCUCAAAGAGAUUACAGACAUCUACCACAAAUUCUCUACUUGGUGUGGUGCAAAAUCAGUAUGAUGUAAACUUUGUCUCUCAGUUUCUUCAAAGGAAAGAAGCAACUGGAACACACAUAUAACACUAACCCUUCCAGCUGCAUUAUGAGGGACCAGUACCUGUCUCAAGGCAAAAUUAUGACUUAGUUCAUCCUCACCUCUGGAGGCCAGUAAAAGUGGGUUAUAGAAGAACAAAGAGGCAUCUAGAUCUUUCACUGGGUUAUUUGGAGAGAAACAUCUCCUACCGAAGGCCAGUUUAACAAGACUGGUAGAGGAGGUUAUCUUAUCUAAUUCACAGAAAUCAACACAUUGAGUCAAGAAAAAUGAAACACAGAAACACUCUAAAUAAAAGAAGAUAAGUCUUCAGAAACCAACCCUAAUGAAAUGAAGAUAUGUGAUUAACCUGACAGGAAAUUAAAAAGAGCAACCAUAAAGAGUCUCAUGGGAGCAAUGCAUGAACAAACUGAGAAUUUUCAUAAAGAAAUAAAAGAUAACAAAAA
RNAcentral lists this long non-coding RNA (1249 nucleotides) under Homo sapiens (human). RNAcentral describes it as "JPX transcript, XIST activator". The stretch from base 1 to 125 matches the Rfam family "JPX transcript, XIST activator conserved region 1". The record is from RNAcentral. Lineage: Eukaryota; Metazoa; Chordata; Mammalia; Primates; Hominidae.